CCGCAGGAGACUGCGGAGGACAUUAAAGAAUGAAC
Molecule: ribosomal RNA, 35 nt
Filed under: Amanita fuliginea
Lineage: Eukaryota; Fungi; Basidiomycota; Agaricomycetes; Agaricales; Amanitaceae
Description: partial 18S ribosomal RNA
Source: RNAcentral